AACCUUAUGGACCUGCGGGCGUAUACCUGCGGAAGGAUCAUUACCUAGAGUUUGUAGACUUCGGUCUGCUACCUCUUACCCAUGUCUUUUGAGUACCUUCGUUUCCUCGGCGGGUCCGCCCGCCGAUUGGACAACAUUCAAACCCUUUGCAGUUGCAAUCAGCGUCUGAAAAAACAUAAUAGUUACAACUUUUAACAAUGGAUCU
This 205-nucleotide unclassified non-coding RNA is filed under the name soil metagenome. RNAcentral's name for it is "partial contains 5.8S ribosomal RNA, internal transcribed spacer 2, and large subunit ribosomal RNA". The record is from RNAcentral.